Molecule: ribosomal RNA, 406 nt
Filed under: uncultured bacterium
Lineage: Bacteria
Description: partial 16S ribosomal RNA
Rfam family: Bacterial small subunit ribosomal RNA
Source: RNAcentral
AUUGAACGCUGGCGGCAGGCCUAACACAUGCAAGUCGAACGAGUGGCGGACGGGUGAGUAAUGUCUGGGAAACUGCCUGAUGGAGGGGGAUAACUACUGGAAACGGUAGCUAAUACCGCAUACCAUCGGAUGUGCCCAGAUGGUCUUAGCUAGUAGGUGGGGUAAAGGCUCACCUAGGCGACGAUCCCUAGCUGGUCUGAGAGGAUGACCAGCAACACUGGAAAGGAGACACGGUCCAGAGGGCUAAGGGAGGCAGAAGUGGGGAAUAUUGCACAAUGGGAGCAAGCCUGAUGCAGCCAUGCCGCGUGGAUGAAGAAGGCAUUCGGGUUGUAAAGUACUUUCAGCGGGGAGGCGUUACCCGCAGAAGAAGCACCGGCUAACUCCGUGCCAGCAGCCGCGGUAAUAC